Molecule: ribosomal RNA, 293 nt
Filed under: uncultured bacterium
Lineage: Bacteria
Description: partial 16S ribosomal RNA
Rfam family: Archaeal small subunit ribosomal RNA
Source: RNAcentral
GUGCCAGCAGCCGCGGUAAUACCGGCAGCCCAAGUGAUGGCCGCUGUUAUUGGGCCUAAAGCGUCCGUAGCUGGCCGCACGAGUCCGUCGGGAAAUCCGCCCGCUCAACGGGCGGCCGUCCGGCGGAACCUGUGUGGCUUGGGACCGGGAGGCCUGAGGGGCACGAUCGGGGUAGGAGUGAAAUCCUGUAAUCCUGGACGGACCACCGGUGGCGAAAGCGCCUCGAGAGGACGGACCCGACAGUGAGGGACGAAAGCCAGGGUCUCGAACCGGAUUAGAAACCCCAGUAGUCC